GAGCGUACUAGGUGUAACACCUCAAAUUUCAAGACAUAUUUUUUUCAUUUUUAUUCUUAAAAUAUUACUCAUAAAUUCCAGUCAUCACAAAAAUUAUAAGUUAUUAUCAAACAAUAUUAGAGUAUCCCAAAAUCUUCAAGUCUCCAUAAGUCGACGGAUGUGUACAAUCAUGCCUCCUCCUUCCAGGAAUCUACAGAAGUACCUGAAACACAUUUAACUCAACACGGUAAGCACGAAGCUUAGUGAGUUCCACAAAAUACCACACACAUAAAUAAUUAACCUCUCAUGGCUAUGUCUCGAUUUGGACCUUCCGGUCAUGUGUCUCAAUGAAGACCCUCCGGUCUCACGCCUUAGUAUGGACCCUCUAGUCCGGUAUCUCAUUGAGGACCCUGCGAUCUCACAACUCGGUUUGGACCCUUUGGUUCUAACUCAAUAGGGCAAAAAAUAAUAUACAACAUAAAUCACAAAGACCAAAUGAAUGACAUCACAUAACUCAGUAUAAGCACAUAAGACUCUUCGGUCAAUAACUCAAAUAAGACCCUUCGGUCACACAUAUUACCACUCAGCUAAGUAUAGUAAGAAGACUCACCUCGUAAGUAAGCAAGUAUGUCCCGUACUCAACGGUAGGCCUAGACUCCGCCUACAUAUAUCAUAAUCAUUUCUAAUUAACAAUUUAUAAUAACAACUCCAAGGAUGUUAAACUAUUCCUUUACUAACUCUCGGAAAGGGUGAAAGACCAUUACCCCUCCAUGGUCUUCUAAGUCCAUAACUUGACCAAACCCUAAAAGUUAACGGAUGUCAACCCUCAAGUCAACAGUCCAUGUUGACCCAACUCGUCGAGUGCAUCUAUGCAACUCGUCAAGUUCCUUUGUUUCUCUGAAAUAUCAAGAAAAUCCAACUCAACUCGCUGAGUUGUCUCACCAACUCGCCGAGUUUGUAACGCGUCCAGACUAUCAGGGAAAACCCUAACCAACUCGUCAAGUUCCUUUGGCUCAACCACUCAUUCAGACACUUUUAAGCGAGACUAAGGCCCCAAACUCUAGAUCUAGCCUUCUAAGGAUGAAAUACCACGUAAAUAUGCAUGCUUUACGUCCAUGCAUGGCAUCUAGGGCUAAGUUUGCCAACACAAAGCUCAACAAAGGGUUUAAGGCCUGGAAGUUGGCCAAAGCUUGAAUCUUUAGGCUUAAGGGACCUAGUAUUGUCCAGAUUUGAAGUCUCAUCUUUAAAACAUGCUCAAAAUCAAUAAUGACUCAAGGAAAUAUUAAAAUGGCCAAAACUCUCUAAUGGAGAGAUCUAGCACUCAAGUGAUCAAGAUAGUGGCUUUUUACCUCCUAAUGGCCGCUAACACUGAAAAUGCCGGAUCCAACGACUCCUUCUUGUUCCAAGCCUUUUACUCCUCAAGCCCCUUCAAAGAAUGCACCAAAAUACACACUUUUAGCCUCACUCUCUCUCACAGUGGAUGAUAGCUUGAUUAGGGUUUCUCUCAGGGUGAUAAGGUGAUGAGGGAGGCGAGGUAAAGGACUUAAGGUCCUUUAAAUAUGGUGCAAACCCUGAAACUUAGGGUUUUCUCACUCAGCUCCUACUCGUCGAGUUGACUCUAAAACCCGCACGGUUAUCUCAAUUGCUACUCGAUGGGUUGGAUAGGAACCAUUUAUGCAAUUUACUCUUGGAUCUAACAAUAGAUUGAUUUAUGAUAUAUGUUGUUUGCAAC
RNAcentral lists this long non-coding RNA (1711 nucleotides) under Lactuca sativa (garden lettuce). RNAcentral's name for it is "long non-coding RNA (LSAT_LNC004734)". Lineage: Eukaryota; Viridiplantae; Streptophyta; Magnoliopsida; Asterales; Asteraceae. The record is from RNAcentral.